Molecule: transfer RNA, 64 nt
Filed under: Laemobothrion sp.
Lineage: Eukaryota; Metazoa; Arthropoda; Insecta; Psocodea; Laemobothriidae
Description: tRNA-Arg
Source: RNAcentral
ACUCUUAUAGUUAAUAAAAAUAACAUUAGAUUUCGACUCUAAAAUUACCUCAGGGUUGGGAGUA